Molecule: ribosomal RNA, 247 nt
Filed under: uncultured bacterium
Lineage: Bacteria
Description: partial 16S ribosomal RNA
Rfam family: Bacterial small subunit ribosomal RNA
Source: RNAcentral
GCAAGUCGAGGGGUAACAUGUCUUCGGAUGAUGACGACCGGCGCACGGGUGAGUAACACGUACACAAUCUACCUUGUACUGGAGCAUAGCCCCGGGAAACUGGGAUUAAUACUCCAUGGUAUUGCGGAAUCGCAUGGUUCUGCAAUUAAAGUUCCGACGGUACAAGAUGAGUGUGCGUCCCAUUAGCUAGUUGGUGAGGUAACGGCCCACCAAGGCGACGAUGGGUAGCUGGCGUGAGAGCGCGACC